This 314-nucleotide unclassified non-coding RNA is filed under the name uncultured Sordariales. Its description in RNAcentral is "sequence contains ITS1". The stretch from base 1 to 106 matches the Rfam family "5.8S ribosomal RNA", at positions 50 to 154 of the family's 154-position model. Lineage: Eukaryota; Fungi; Ascomycota; Sordariomycetes; Sordariales. The record is from RNAcentral.
GAAAUGCGAUAAGUAAUGUGAAUUGCAGAAUUCCAGUGAAUCAUCGAAUCUUUGAACGCACAUUGCGCCCAUUAGCAUUCUAACGGGCAUGCCUGUUCGAGCGUCAUUUCAACCCUCAGGCCCUAGCCGGCCUGGCGUUGGGGCAUCUGCGGGUGACCGCAGGCCCUGAAAGAUAGUGGCGGUGUCCGCUAGCACUCCGGGCGCAGUAGGUGUCUUUCUCGCCGAGGACUGUCUUGCGGGCUGCCGGCCGUAAAACACCCCCUAAAUGAUGGAAGGUUGACCUCGGAUCAGGUAGGAAUACCCGCUGAACUUAA